UACUCGAGUGGCGAACGGGUGAGUAACACGUGGGUGAUCUGCCCUGUACUUUGGGAUAAGCCUGGGAAACUGGGUCUAAUACCGAAUAUGACCACUUCUUGGAUGGGGUGGUGGAAAGCUUUUGCGGUAUGGGAUGAGCUCGCGGCCUAUCAGCUUGUUGGUGGGGUAAUGGCCUACCAAGGCGUCGACGGGUAGCCGGCCUGAGAGGGUGUACGGCCACAUUGGGACUGAGAUACGGCCCAGACUCCUACGGGAGGCAGCAGUGGGGAAUAUUGCACAAUGGGCGCAAGCCUGAUGCAGCGACGCCGCGUGGGGGAUGACGGCCUUCGGGUUGUAACUCCUUUCGCAACCGACGAAGCUUUUGUGACGGUAGGUUGAGAAGAAGCACCGGCUAACUACGUGCCAGCAGCCGCGGUAAUACGUAGGGUGCGAGCGUUGUCCGGAAUUACUGGGCGUAAAGAGCUCGUAGGUGGUUUGUCGCGUCGUUUGUGGAAUACCGCAGCUUAACUGCGGGGUUGCAGGCGAUACGGGCAUAACUUGAGUGCUGUAGGGGAGACUGGAAUUCCUGGUGUAGCGGUGGAAUGCGCAGAUAUCAGGAGGAACACGAUGGCGAAGGCAGUCUCUGGCAGUAACUGACG
This 638-nucleotide ribosomal RNA is filed under the name uncultured Actinomycetes bacterium. RNAcentral's name for it is "bacterial SSU rRNA". It matches the Rfam family "Bacterial small subunit ribosomal RNA", at positions 88 to 745 of the family's 1533-position model. Lineage: Bacteria; Bacillati; Actinomycetota; Actinomycetes. The record is from RNAcentral.